GGUCAAGCGAAUAAGUGCAUGUGGUGGAUGCCUUGGCGAUUACAGGCGAUGAAGGACGUAGUAGCCUGCGAAAAGCUGCGGGGAGCUGGCAAACGAGCUUUGAUCCGCAGAUAUCCGAAUGGGGAAACCCGGCCCGUAUGGGUCAUCUGUUACUGAAUACAUAGGUAACAGAAGCGAACGCAGUGAACUGAAACAUCUAAGUAGCUGCAGGAACAGAAAUCAACCGAGAUUCCCAAAGUAGUGGCGAGCGAAAUGGGAUCAGCCUUGUACUCUUUAGCAGUAUUGUUAGCAAAGCGGAAUGGAAAGUCCGGCCAUAGUGGGUGAUAGCCCCGUAUGCGAAAACAGUAUUGUGGAACUAGGUGUACGACAAGUAGGGCGGGACACGUGAAAUCCUGUCUGAAGAUGGGGGGACCAUCCUCCAAGGC
RNAcentral lists this ribosomal RNA (425 nucleotides) under Escherichia coli. RNAcentral describes it as "partial 23S ribosomal RNA". It matches the Rfam family "Bacterial large subunit ribosomal RNA", at positions 1 to 466 of the family's 2925-position model. Lineage: Bacteria; Pseudomonadati; Pseudomonadota; Gammaproteobacteria; Enterobacterales; Enterobacteriaceae. The record is from RNAcentral.